RNAcentral lists this ribosomal RNA (112 nucleotides) under Caerostris extrusa. The record is from RNAcentral. Lineage: Eukaryota; Metazoa; Arthropoda; Arachnida; Araneae; Araneidae.
AACGGCCAUACCAUGCUGAAUAUACCGGUUCUCGUUAGAUCACCGAAGUCAAGCAUCAUUGGGCGCGGCCAGUAUUUGGGUGGGUGACCACCUGGGAACACUGCGUGCCGUU